AGGGAACAGGCGGCGAGAGGAAACGCGCAGCGGGGCUCAGUUGAGCAAAGCGGCUGCUCUCACCAGCGCAAUGGCCACCUCAGUUGGGGACACAUGGGGCGCCAUGUCCUCCUCUCGGAACAGCAGGACUGGUGCGAGGUGUCUGGGCGGUGAUGCAACUUGGCGCGGUGAUGCAGGUUAGCGCUGCCCCUGCCGCAGGCCGCCAUGGACCGCACAGACCCAGAGGGUCGCGAAGCACAAAGAGCGCUGUCUCUAGAAAACUCCAAUGCUAACUCAACAGGGAAGACCCCCACGGGUGGCUUUCAGCCAUGCAAAUGAAUCUUCCAACCGCAUUAUGAAACCAUCAACGACUCCAGUUUCCUCAGUCUCAAAGAAUGGGACAGUCACCACCGGUGAAACCCAUAGUAACAUCUAAAAUGACAACAGGGGUCUCAACAGAUAUAACUUCCACCACCUUAGCGUCUACACCCAAAAUAACAAGUGUUUCGAAAAACAUCCCGGAUGUCAAUCAACACCCACAAUGACUACAACCCACAGUAGUUACGUGACAUUUGUUUCUUCAUCGGUAACAAUUACAGCAACUCUUAACUCUAAAGAAAAUAAAAGAUCAAAAUUUGAUACUGGCAGCUUUGUUGGUAGUAUUAUAUUAAAUUAUGGAAUUUAAUCUAUGCUUUACAUUGGAUGCAAAAUGUACUAUUCAAGAAGAGGCAUUUGUUAUAGACCCAUCUGUGAACAUGAUGCCAUCAUUUAAGGAAAUCCAAGAACCAACGGAAAGAAGAAAGAUUGAUGCAGCCCAGUCAAUUAACUUUGUUUUAUUGUUAGUUUAAAACAAUAUUCUCUUCUUGAAAAGAGUAUUAACGAGCCAGCGCAUAUAAUGUACAAUGUAUUAUAUGAAUGUGUAAAGCUUCCUCACGAUUACUAAAGGCAAAAAGGAUUUGGAUUUUUUGUGUGUGUGGGUGCUUUUUGGUUUUUUUUGCCACGCGACAUGCAGGAUCCCAGUUCCCCGACCAGGGAUGGAACCCGUGCCCCCUGCAGUGGAAGCGCAGAGUCUUAACCACUGGACUGACAAGAAAGUCCCUGGUUUGACUUUUUUUUUUGUCUGUGUUGGGCCUUCGUUGCUGUGAGCGGUCUUCCUCUAGUUGCGGUGAGUGGGGGCUACUCUUCGUUGCGGUGCGCAGGCUUCUCAUUGUGGUGGCUUCUCUUGUUGCGGAGCAUGGGCUCUAGGCACGCAGGCUUCAGUAGUUGUGGCAUGUGGGCUCAGUAGUUGUGGCUCACGGGCUCUAGAGCUCAGGCUCAGUAGUUGUGGUGCAUGGGCUUAGUUGCUUCGUGGCAUGUGGGAUCUUCCCAGACCAGGGCUUGAACCCGUGUCCCCUGCAUUGGCAGGUGGAUUCUUAACCACUGUGCCAACAGGGAAGCCCCAAACCAGGUUUUAAGCAUAAUUUUAGUUUCAAUGUCUCUUCAGAAUGCAUCACUAUUUUAUAUGUUUUAAAGCUUAGUACUUGAUUUGUGUGUGUGUGUGUGUGUGUGUGUGUGUUUGCCACGAGGCUUGUGGGAUCUUAGUUCCCUGACCAGGAUGGAACCCGUGUCCCUUGCAGUGGAAGUGCAGAGUCCUAACCACCACUGGACCACCAGCAUAGGUGAACAGGGUGUGCCAAUAAGUAAAAGUUCAUCAGGACUGAGGAGGGAUCGUUUCUUUGAAGAGGGAACUUAGAAAGAAAAACACAUACACACACUUUGUAAAUAUCCUGAAAAUUGAGGAUGUUGUUCUUCCUGUCCACUGCAGCUACUUCUCUUUUCUGAGACAUCGAUUUCUAUAUAACUUGUUCAGUUCCCUUGGCUUUGACACUUGUAGAUCUGGAAUGUGGAAGUACCCUGAAUGAUGAUGAUGAUUUAACAGCUUGAGAUAAACAUUUGAUGAACUUUCAGA
Molecule: long non-coding RNA, 1927 nt
Organism: Orcinus orca (killer whale)
Lineage: Eukaryota; Metazoa; Chordata; Mammalia; Artiodactyla; Delphinidae
Exons: 2
Source: RefSeq, a predicted model, not a curated record